AUUAAAUAAGUGUUAUUUUUUUAUUUUUUUCACUUUCUCCUCCAUUUUCAUGAUCAUUCCCCUUGUGUUCUAUCAUAUAUAUUGAAUGUUUAUCCUUAGGAUUAUUUUGAAGUGCUUUACUUUUAGCAACACAUAAAUUUUUUAUGCAUACUUCUAAAUCUUUAAAUAAUGCACUUUCUUCAUUCGUUUUUUUUUUUCCCACAAUGUACUGUGUUAUUUCUAUUAUUUAAUUGUUUGUUAUCUCCAUUUUCAUUUAUUUGGUUAUUAUCGUUAUUACCUGUAGUUGUGAUAGUAGCAUUAUUGUUACCGUCAUAAUUACUUAUAUUGUUACAUCCAGAAUUGUUACUACUUUCCACACUAAGUUGGUGCAUCAUCAUAUCUUUUAUUAUAUCAAACACACCAGUUUCUACUUUUUGACAUAUAUUUUUUUCAUCCAAAAAAUGUUUUUUUUUUUUUUUUUUUUUUUUUUUUUUAUUUUUCUUUUUUUUUUUUUUUUCUUAGUAUUUUUUUCUUUACUAUCUUUUAUUUUCAUAUCUUUUCGAAUGUCAUCAUUACCAUUUUUGUUUUGUAACUCUUUCAAUUUUUCUAAACUUUUUAUAUCCCAUUCGUUAUGUAUUUUAAUAGGUGUACUACUAUUACUACUAUUAAAUGGUGUAAUUGUUUUUUUAUUAAUACUUAUAGUUUCUUCUUUUUCUUCAUUCGUUUUGGUUUUUUUUUGUGCUGUUACAUUAGUAUGUUUCAGUUCUGAUAUUGAACCAGUAGGUAUUGUUGCACUUGCAACACCACCUGUACUAAGUUCUGGGGAUCCUAAUACUGUAUUGGUUUCUUCUUCUCCUUCUUCAUCAUCAUUUUUUUUUAUAGUUUUAACUGUAUUUUGCGUGACAUCGUUACUAUUAAGUUCAUUUUUUUUUGUCUGGUGUUUUUUUUAA
This 929-nucleotide long non-coding RNA is filed under the name Piliocolobus tephrosceles (Ugandan red Colobus). RNAcentral's name for it is "lncRNA (ENSPTEG00000001434.1)". The record is from RNAcentral. Lineage: Eukaryota; Metazoa; Chordata; Mammalia; Primates; Cercopithecidae.